UUUAUUGCCGAUGCAGCAUCAUCAGGAUUCUCACCAUCAAAAAGCCUUUGGUAUAUAUAGAUAUAGAUAGAUGAUAGCAGCUUACCAUCUUGCUUUUACAUGUGAAUCUUGAUGAUGCUACACCAGAAACCAA
Molecule: microRNA precursor, 133 nt
Filed under: Olea europaea subsp. europaea
Lineage: Eukaryota; Viridiplantae; Streptophyta; Magnoliopsida; Lamiales; Oleaceae
Source: RNAcentral